Molecule: ribosomal RNA, 255 nt
Filed under: Clostridioides difficile
Lineage: Bacteria; Bacillati; Bacillota; Clostridia; Peptostreptococcales; Peptostreptococcaceae
Description: partial 16S ribosomal RNA
Rfam family: Bacterial small subunit ribosomal RNA
Source: RNAcentral
UUUAAUUCGAAGCAACGCGAAGAACCUUACCUAAGCUUGACAUCCCAAUGACAUCUCCUUAAUCGGAGAGUUCCCUUCGGGGACAUUGGUGACAGGUGGUGCAUGGUUGUCGUCAGCUCGUGUCGUGCGAUGUUGGGUUAAGUCCCGCAACGAGCGCAACCCUUGUCUUUAGUUGCCAUCAUUAAGUUGGGCACGCUAGAGAGACUGCCAGGGAUAACCUGGAGGAAGGUGGGGAUGACGUCAAAUCAUCCUGCC